UACAGAGGGUGCGAGCGUUGUUCGGAAUUACUGGGCGUAAAGGGCUCGUAGGCGGCCAACUAAGUCGGACGUGAAAUCCCCAGGCUCAACCUGGGAACUGCGUCCGAUACUGGAUGGCUUGAAUUCGGGAGAGGGAUGCAGAAUUCCAGGUGUAGCGGUGAAAUGCGUAGAUAUCUGGAGGAAUACCGGUGGCGAAGGCGGCAUCCUGGACCGACAUUGACGCUGAUGAGCGAAAGCUAGGGGAGCAAACGGG
Molecule: ribosomal RNA, 253 nt
Filed under: uncultured bacterium
Lineage: Bacteria
Description: partial 16S ribosomal RNA
Rfam family: Bacterial small subunit ribosomal RNA
Source: RNAcentral